AGAUGAGGAUGAUGAUUUGAACUUGUUUCCCUAUUGGUUUGAUCGCCGGUAUGAUGGCGAAACUAUGUAUUAGCUCUAUCUGACUCAUCUUUUCUCCCCACAAUUCUUUCUUCUGUUUGUGAUUGAUAAAGUUUGGAAGUUGUUUCUGAGUGCUUGUGAUUUUUCUGGGUUUUGUGUUAGAGGAGGAUUGAGAAUGAGAUGAUGAUUUGAACUUUUUGGUUCCCUAUUGGUUUGAUUUGCCGCCAUGAUGGCAUCAAUGUAUUAGCUCUAUCUGAUCAUUC
RNAcentral lists this long non-coding RNA (281 nucleotides) under Rosa chinensis. Its description in RNAcentral is "sRNA RchiOBHm_Chr6g0288811". The stretch from base 192 to 281 matches the Rfam family "Small nucleolar RNA Z102/R77". Lineage: Eukaryota; Viridiplantae; Streptophyta; Magnoliopsida; Rosales; Rosaceae. The record is from RNAcentral.